GGCUGUGAGGGCGGGUGGGAGAGAUGGGGAAUCAGAUUCCUUUGCCAGCAGGCCUCUAAGAGGGAGCCCAGGGGAGCAGCAGGGCAGCUCUAGGACCUGGGACUUCCUGGGUGUGGAGUCUUCUCGUUCACACUCACCCUGAGCCUGUCCUGGACUCUGUUGGUGUCGUGGGUCACCUGCCCUUCCUGCAGGGAGAUGGCAUGGGGUAGUCUAUGGACCAGGUCCUGUGAGGAGUCCUGCAAACACAGUGCCCAGCAGCCAGGCAGAAACCUCAGAGCCGUGUCUGGUUGUCCUGACUGGUUCUCAGACCCAUAAGACAGCUCCAGUCUCAACACGCACACACCACUCUCUGCACAGACCUCCAUCAGGGACAGAAAGCUGACAACCUGAAGGGCUUGGAUUCCCACUGGCAUGGAGAAAAGGCCCCUCAGGAGUCCUCUUUCCCCCCUGCCAGCCCUGUCCUCGGGUGUGGCCAUGACAGGACCACCAGAUUACCACGUGUUCAAUGGCUGGUUCCCGCCCAGAGGGGACACCUCCCCUCAAGUCCCCCUUCCCCCACAUGGAGAUGAGGGGAAGUGGGCCUGCCCAGGGAGGGCUCCCAGAGGAGGCUGGUCCCAGAUUGGCCUGCUCCAGGCUGCCCGGUGUUACCUUAAGUGAUCGCCUCAUAAUAGAGCAGAGGUGUUGGGGUUGAGGGUUCCACCAACGCCUACAGCCUCUCAAAAACCUCUCACUCCAGGGUUUCCUGGACGAGAAGCCCCGAGAGUUCACAAAACUGAAAGAACAUGUUUCUCUGUGAACUGUCUCCAGCCAAGUGAGCUGGCUCAGGGGCCGUCAUUAGAAUGUGGGUGCCUGGUUACUGGGUUCCAAUUCUGUUGGGGUCUGUUAUCAAGGACGUGACAUCACUUCCUGGGGUCCACUUCUUGGGACUCAUUCCUCAGACAACACCUCCGGACAGCCCUCUGGGCUGCUGCCUGCUCACCCCCUCCUCCUCACAAACCCACCUCUUCCACAGUUACAGCAGCCCUGCCCUCUCCACGGCUCCCGGGGAGGCUCUGUGUGUAGCUGUGAGGAGACGACCUGGCUUCCAGACUCAACUUCUCAUUGUUACCUGUUCUACAUCUUGUAUUUAUCCUGGUGUUUCUCCAGGACGGUCUCCCCAUCUGCACAGUCGGGCUGACUCUGGUCGUACUUCUAGAGAUGUCCUCAGGCGUGUGUGGGAUAAGACAAGAGAAGUGUAGGAGUGGUGUCACUUGUAGGUGCCAUCUUCCAGGAGAAUGUGGCCAAGGACGACAGGGCAUUUCCAGCUGGCCGCAGCAGACCUGAGCCUCAGCGAUGACAUCCUGCAGAGCUAGAAGAUCACCUGCUCCGUCAAGGUCAUCGAGGUCAACAACCCUUUUCAGGCCCUGCAGGAAGCUGGUUUAAUUUUGUAAAGGGACACUUCCCUUCAUCUACAGCCACCCAUUGAAGCAGUUCAUAGAGGAAAGGCAGUCUCCUACGAAAUCUGUAUAUAGUGCCAGACAUUGGACCCAUCCAGACUGAGAACUACCUGGGCCACCAGGAGUAAAACCUCAGACUGUCACAGUAAGUGAGCUGAGCUGAACUAGUCAACGGUUGAACUGUCUCGUGUGUCCUGUGUCCGGGGCUGAGAAAGCCGACCACUGUCAUCUGGCAGCACUGCCACCUGGGGUGAGGCUGUCAGUCUCUGCUUGGCUCCUCAAGGUCACAUCACAGCCUCUUCUGGAUCUGCUGUCCACAUUCCAGGGAGAAGAGUCCCUUUGGCACUCCUGAGAAACAAACAUAUGGAUCAAUGGAACAGAACAGAGAGCCCAGAAAUGAACCCACAGACUUUUGGUCAAUUAAUCUUUGACAAAGGAGGCAAUGGAAUAAAGACAGUCUCUUCAGCAAAUGGUGUUCGGAAAACUGGACAGCAGAAUGUAAAUCAAUGAAGUUAGAACACUCUGUCACACUACACAAAAAUAAACUCAAAAUGGGUUAAAGACUUAAAAAUAAGACAAGACACAAUAAACCUCCUAGAAGAAAACACAGGCAAAACGUUAUGUCACAUUUAUCUCAGCAAUGUUCUCCUAGGGCAGUCUACCCAAGCAAUAGAAAUAAAAGCAAAAAUAAGCACAUGGGACCUAAUUAAACUUACAAGAUUUUGCACAGCAAAGGAAAUAAUAAGCAAAACAAAAUGAUAUCUUUUGGAAUGGGAGAAAAUAUUUGCAAUGGGUGAAACUGACAAGGGCUUGAUCUCCAGAUAUAAAAAGUUCAUAUGACUUAGUAAGAAAAAAAAAAACCAACCCAAUCCAAAAAUGGGCAGAAGACCUAAACAAGCAAUUCUCCAAGGAAGACAUGAAUGAUCAAGAGGCGCAUGAAAAGAUGAUCAAUAUCACUAAUUAUCAGAGAAAUGCAAAUCAAAACUACAGUGAGGUAUCACUUCACACCAGUCAGGAUGGCCGUCAUUCAAAAGUCCACAGAUAAUGGAUGCUAGAGAAGGUGUCAAGAAAAGGGAACCCUCCUACACUGCUGGUGGAAAUGCAGUUUGGUGCAGCCACUGUGGAAAACGGUAUGGGGAUUCCUCAAAAGACUAGGAAUAGACUUACCAUAUGACCCAGCAAUCCCACUUCUGGGCAUAUAUCCAGGUGGAACCCUAAUUCAAAAAGACACCUGCACCCCAAUGUUAAUAGCAGCACUAUUUACAAUAGCUGAGACAUGGAAACAACCUAAAUGUCCACUUACAGAUGACUGGACAAAGAAGAUGUAGUAUAUUUAUACAGUGGAAUGCUAUUCAGUCAUAAAAAUGACAACAUAAUGCCAUUUGCUGUAAUAUGGGUUCCCUGGAGAAUGUCAUUCUAAAUGAAGUAAACCAGAUAGAGAAAGAAAAAUAUCAUAUGAUUAUCACUCAUAUGUGGAAUCUAAAAAAAAAAAAGAAGAAGAAGACAAGUAAACUAAAAUACAAAACAGAAACAGACUCACAGACAUAGAAUGCAAACUGUGGUUGCCAUGGGGGAGGGGUGUAGGAGGGACAGACUGGGAGUUUGAGAUGUGUAGAUACUGAGAGGUAUAUAUAAACUAGAUAAACAAGCUUAUACUGUGUAGCACAGGGAAAUAUAUUUAAGAUCUUCUAAUAGCUCUUGGUGAAAAAGAACAUGAAAAUGGAUAUAUGUAUAUUAAUUUAUGACUGAAAAAUUGUGCUGUACACCAGAAAUUGACACAGCAUUGUAAACUGACUAUAACUCAAUAAAAAGAAAAAACAAUUCAAAAAGCCUCUUUUUUUGUUUUCACUUUCAGGUUCUGCUAAUUAAGCCAAGUGUGUAGUCUUAGGUGAUGGGGGCUGUGUAUAUAUUUCAAGGACACGAUAAGAGCUAUAACUUCAAUUUUUCUCCUAGGAUUAGUUUUCUUCUCUCAGGGUCAGCAUUUUGAAAAGAUGUCUG
Molecule: long non-coding RNA, 3434 nt
Organism: Camelus dromedarius (Arabian camel)
Lineage: Eukaryota; Metazoa; Chordata; Mammalia; Artiodactyla; Camelidae
Exons: 6
Source: RefSeq, a predicted model, not a curated record